AUUCGCUAGCGAGCGCGCUAGUUACACAACCGGCCAGACGAUCGAAUUAUGCUCUUUUACGUUUGUGAUUGAUAUGAUAUGUGAUAGAUCUACAGAAGAUAGAGAAGUGUUUCUGUACUCUAGUCUUAGUCUUAGCAGUUGACAUCGUUGUCUUCAAUCAUGGCACAAGACUCGAAUAUUUCACUGUCCCAGGCAUCUACAAUCUCCUGUCACAAUCUUCAAUACAUGGUAAAUGUUGGGCAGAGAUGCAAGAAAGCUCAGGAAAAGCUCAUCUUGAAAGGAGUCACAGGAGUCUUUGAAGCAGGUAUGAAUGCCAUCAUGGGACCUACUGGAAGCGGUAAAACAUCUUUACUAGACAUCCUGGCUGGCAGAAAAGAGAAGAGCGGAGUGAGAGGAGAAGUCUUGAUUAAUGGGAAUGACCUGCCAAGAAACUUCAAGUGCUGCUCUGGAUAUGUUCUUCAGGAUGAUGUCGUCAUGGGAACCUUGACGGUGAGAGAGAAUCUUGCUUUCUCUGCUGCCCUCCGUCUGCCCUCUACGGUAUCUCUGAAGGAGAAGAAAGAACGCGUGGAUGAAGUCAUUCAUGUGCUUGGUCUGGAUGACUGCAAGGAUACAAAGAUUGGGUCUAUGUUCAUACGUGGUGUUUCGGGAGGAGAGCGUAAACGAACCAACAUCGGUAUGGAGCUUGUUAUUGGACCAACUGUUCUGUUCCUUGAUGAACCUACAACUGGUCUGGAUGCUAACACUGCGUAUACUGUCAUGAAUCAGCUUGCCAUAUUAUCCAAGCAAGGGCGUGCUAUCAUCUUCUCCAUCCAUCAGCCAAGGUUUACCAUCUUUCGUCUCUUUGACACACUCCAUCUGUUGUCCAAAGGAGAGACAGUCUACCAUGGUCCGGCCCAAGAUUCCAUGGACUACUUCUCCUCUAUUGGUUUUGAGUGUGAAGCCCACAACAAUCCUCCUGAUUUCUUUCUCGACGUGAUUAUGAAGAAUGCUACUGCAGCGCCCUCUAUAGAACAAGAUCCUGAAAGCAAUUCAUCCAUCAAACUUGAAGAGGGCAGAAUUAGCACCGAGAUGAACAAUACCACAUCCACCGCAUCAACAAACCUUACACAGUCCUACAAGACGUCUCGUUUCCAUCGUGAAGUGGAAGAGAAAGCAGCAGAGAUUAUCAAGCUACAUGAUAACAACCCCGGGAUAGUCGGUCUACCAGACUAUGAUUAUGCAACAGGAUUCUUUACUCAGGUCACUGUGGUAGCCAAGAGAGCCGCUAUCAAUUAUAAAAGGAGUAUUCAAGUUUCAGUUGUACCGUUCGUCAUGUCCUCCUUCUUUGCGAUUGUGUUGGGCUUUGUGUAUUUCCAGGUGGACACCUCCUUUCCAUCCGGAACUCAAAACAGGACCGGGGCCUUCUUGUUCGCUAGUAUCUUCAUGGUCUUCAGCAAUAUGGGUGCGUUGGAGCUCUUCAUUGCUGAACGCAAAAUAUUCAUACAUGAGUCAGGCAGUGGUUUCUAUCGGACCUCAUCAUAUUUCUUCGCCAAGGUUUUGUGUGAUCUGAUUCCAAUGAGAGUCAUUCCAACCAUCGCUUUUGUUACUAUCUUUUACUGGAUGAUUGGAUUCCGUGCAGAAGUGGGGGCAUUCUUUAUCUUCUUAUUUACAUUGAUGCUCACUACAUUCUGUGGUACUGGACUGGUGUUUCUACUUUCCAUUAGGGUCGGCAUUGUUAGCGUAGCUACCAACUUUAUUACCGCUAUCAACAUCAUCAUGUUUGUAUUUGCAGGUGUUCUUGUCAAUACGUCUUCUAUUCUUGUGUGGCUGGAGUGGCUCAAAUACUUCAGCAUUAUCCGAUAUUCUGUCAAUGCUUUGAGUAUCAACGAAUUCAGAGGACUCACAUUCUGUAGAGGGAAUGGAACAGACAUUUGUAUUACUGGAGAGGAGUACUUGGCUGACCUGGAUAUAUCAUUCUCCAAUUGGGAUCUAUGGCAGAAUCACGUAGCUCUCUCAUGCAUCGUGAUUAUCCUCUUUACACUGUCGUAUGUAGCUCUACUUAAGGUACCAAAACACAAGUAGGUUGGGGUCAGAUCGUCAGAGGGUACCCAAAUAGAAGUAGGUCAGGGGUCAAGUUUUCCAAAGGUAUCAAAGCACAGGGUCAUGUCUCCAGAGGAUAUCAAAGUACAUGUAGGUUAUUAGGGGUCAAGUCUCCUUAAGGUACCAACUGUUUAAAGCAAAACCUUGAUAUAUCAUUGGGACCUGUGUGGCAGCUAGAACCUAGCCCUAUUGAGGGUAUCCAAGAACAUUUAGGACAGGGGCCAAGUCUCCUUAGAGUACCAAAUGUCCAAAGCGCAACCUUGAUAUCAUUUUCAUUGGGACCUGUGUGGCAGCUAGAAUCUAGUAUAGCUCUAUUGAGGGUACCAAAGUACAAGUAGGUCAGGGGUCAAGUCUUCUGAAGGUACCCAAGUGAUAGAAGGUCAGUGGUGAAAUUGUCUGAGGGUAUCCAUAUCCAACCUUGAUGUACCAUCCACUGUUAAGAAUCUGUGGCGGAACCAUUUAGGGCUCUCAUGCUUCAUAUUGCUCUACUGAAGGUACCAAAGUACAAAUAGGUCAGAGAUCGAGUUUUGUGUAUGUUUGUAUAAAAAAGUAGAACAUUGUUAUAACAGAUGGUUUGGUAUAAAAAAUGUUGCCUUUUAAUAUCAGGGCUAAGAAUCAGUGGAAUAGAAAGUAGGUAGGCUAGUCAAAUUUCUCUGUUAUAAUGGAAGCCUGUUAUUAUUCUUAUUAUUAAGUAUUUGGGGUCACCUGUGCCUGGGAGGGUAAAAGCAAACUGAAUCAAUGUGACCCUAGGGUCUUUCCUCCCUGCAUAACUGACCAGGGUUGUGUUGGUGGACCACUAAUCCAGGGUUUCUACUACUCUGUACUAUAACAUGUCAUCCCUCAUAAUGAUGUUUCAUUCACUGUGGGAUUUUAUGAUGAUAUUGCAAUACACAUUAACAGUUUUGUUUUGUGCUGCACCUAUGGUAAAUGUUAUAUUUUUGUUUUUAAUUAAUAUAUUAUGUUAGCUGCAAAGCAUAUUUGAAAUGUAUUAUAUUGUUUGUUUUGAAAGAUAACAAAUUAGUGAGAAAAGUGUGUCACUUUCUUAAAGGAUGGCCAUAUUAAUUUCAUUCCUCAGUACAACUGAUGAGAAAAUGACGUGCAAUUUGUAAAGGGUUAACAAAAGUACACAUUGACUUUUUUUUUUUUUUAUGUACAUUACUUUUGAAUUUGUAUUAUUGCAAACAUUUGAAGGAGAGCUGAAAUAUGCCUUGGGAUUUUACGUUAGAAAAAUGGCUGAAUCAUGUGCUUCUUUCUUCUUUGAAUUUAAGUUGUUUCCAAGGCUAGAAUUCUUGGAUAUAUUGUUUGCAAAUUUUGUGCAACUCAGAUUCAUUUAAGUUUUAUGCCACAGAAGAAUUUAAUUACAAGAUGAUGCAACACUGCCUUUUUGUGGUAUACAAAAAUUUCUUUCUUCAAAAAUUGCUGUCCUGUACAAUGUAUGAAAAGUAUCAUGUAUGUCUCAAAGGUUUUGGGUCUCUUACAUUACUGUUUUUGAUAUAUUUAAGUAUUCUACUGUGUAAAGGCUUAUUCAGAUAUAGCGUUGUAAACGGCCGCUAAACAAGCUGCCACAUACAGUUUUUGUAAUUGUAAAUGAAGGCAACUGCGUGCAGCAAAGGACUUGCGUGUAUUCACUGAGCUCUGUGUUAUUUGAUACAGAAAUUCGAAGCAUAGUACACUAUAU
This is an RNA transcript of Strongylocentrotus purpuratus (purple sea urchin), 3757 nucleotides long. It is a transcript of the gene named ATP-binding cassette sub-family G member 2, with no coding region annotated. The record is from RefSeq and is a predicted model, not a curated record. Lineage: Eukaryota; Metazoa; Echinodermata; Echinoidea; Camarodonta; Strongylocentrotidae. The transcript has 18 exons.